RNAcentral lists this long non-coding RNA (703 nucleotides) under Gallus gallus (chicken). Lineage: Eukaryota; Metazoa; Chordata; Aves; Galliformes; Phasianidae. The record is from RNAcentral.
CUGGAUGUAGCUUUCUCCUGUGAACUGAGAAUCUUCUGAUAAGGUACCAAGUGCCAAACGCACCUGAAGUCUGCAUACACCAUGAUGAGAAGCAGGAAGAUCCCUAUCUGCCUAUGGGAGUUGAAGCCGAGUGCACUCUGCAUUUCUUUGCCAUUACCCUCUACAACAACACUUCAAAGGUCAAGACUGACAGCUCCAUGGAUUUUGAUGUAACGCUGCUUUUUUAUGGACUGUACAGAGGAAUGAUGCACAGCAACUUUGCAGAGUUGGAAAAUAGGAAAUGAUACAGUAAAAAAAAAUCUUAGGCAAGUGGAAGAGUAAUCUUAAGUGCAUAGAAGGACAGGUAUCUCCUGAUAUCCACCUUCAUUUUCAAAUUACAUCUGAAGGAAGAGCUUGAUGGUGGUGUCUCUGUUUACUCCACUUCAGCAGUUACAAUCUUUGACCCAUCCAACAGUAUUUGAGGUGGGAAAGUCUUCAGCUACUCUCAUCUUGUGGACUACCUCCCAGAGAGAACAAAGAUGAGGAACACCCACUUUGCGCUGGUGCUAAGGCUUCUGGAUCAGAGAGAAGAGUAUGGUCUUGAAAUGAAAGACUACGUAGGUAUUAGUGUUUGAUACACUUUAGGUGAGCACUUCAACAACUAUGCUUAAGCAAGUCAAAAAAGUGUUUGAACCCCACUGUGAAGCAUCACUUCACUGAGAAA